UACGGAGGAUCCGAGCGUUAUCCGGAUUUAUUGGGUUUAAAGGGUGCGCAGGCGGGAGAUUAAGUCGGCGGUGAAAUUUUGCAGCUCAACUGUAAAAGUGCCUUCGAAGCCGGUUUCCUUGAGUGUAGAUGAAGUAGGCGGAAUUUGUGGUGUAGCGGUGAAAUGCGUAGAUAUCGGGAGGAACACCAGCGGCGAAGGCGGCUUUCUGGCCUAUGACUGACCCUGAUGGACGAAAGCUAGGGGAGCAAACAGGAUUAGAUACCCGCGUAGUCCCUGA
RNAcentral lists this ribosomal RNA (277 nucleotides) under uncultured prokaryote. Its description in RNAcentral is "partial 16S ribosomal RNA". It matches the Rfam family "Bacterial small subunit ribosomal RNA", at positions 524 to 800 of the family's 1533-position model. The record is from RNAcentral.